GUAUAAUUAUGAUUGUAACCUGUUCAUGUCUGUCUGUCAGGCUUUAUCUAACCUUGACCUCCUUUACAAGGAGUAAGAUUAUGUAUAAUAGCAAAGCCUGUAUAUUGCUAGUUUGCACCAAAACGUGUUCUUUUUUUGAUAUACACUCAAGUGUGAUCAUUAAAAAAAACACGACCAAAUGUGUCCAUUUUGACCCAAAAAAACAC
Molecule: long non-coding RNA, 206 nt
Filed under: Mytilus galloprovincialis (Mediterranean mussel)
Lineage: Eukaryota; Metazoa; Mollusca; Bivalvia; Mytilida; Mytilidae
Source: RNAcentral